This 304-nucleotide ribosomal RNA is filed under the name uncultured bacterium. Its description in RNAcentral is "partial 16S ribosomal RNA". It matches the Rfam family "Bacterial small subunit ribosomal RNA", at positions 506 to 807 of the family's 1533-position model. The record is from RNAcentral.
CAGCAGCCGCCGCGGUAAUACAGAGGGUGCGAGCGUUAAUCGGAUUUACUGGGCGUAAAGCGUGCGUAGGCGGCUUCUUAAGUCGGAUGUGAAAUCCCUGAGCUUAACUUAGGAAUUGCAUUCGAUACUGGGAAGCUAGAGUAUGGGAGAGGAUGGUAGAAUUCCAGGUGUAGCGGUGAAAUGCGUAGAGAUCUGGAGGAAUACCGAUGGCGAAGGCAGCCAUCUGGCCUAAUACUGACGCUGAGGUACGAAAGCAUGGGGAGCAAACAGGAUUAGAUACCCGCGUAGUCCCUGUCUCUUAUAC